GGGAAUACUGCAAAGCUAGGGAGUGGGAGAGGUAGACGGUACUCGGUAGGAAGGGGUAAAAUCCUUUGAUCUAUUGAUGACCACCUGUGGCGAAGGCGGUCUACCAGAACACGUCCGACGGUGAGGGAUGGAAGCUGGGGGAGCAAACCGGAUUAGAUACCCGGGUAGUCCCAGCCGUAAACCAUGCAAACUCAGUGAUGCAUUGGCUUGUGGCCAAUGCAGUGCUGCAGGGAAGCCGUUAAGUUUGCCGCCUGGGAAGUACGUACGCAAGUAUGAAACUUAAAGGAAUUGGCGGGGGAGCACCACAAGGGGUGAAGCCUGCGGUUCAAUUGGAGUCAACGCCAGAAAUCUUACCCGGAGAGACAGCAGAAUGAAGGUCAAGCUGGAGACUUUACCAGACAAGCUGAGAGGUGGUGCAUGGCCGUCGCCAGCUCGUGCCGUGAGAUGUCCUGUUAAGUCAGGUAACGAGUGAGAUCCCUGCCUCUAGUUGCCACCAUUACUCUCAGGAGUAGUGGGGCGAAUUAGCGGGACCGCCGCAGUUAAUGUGGAGGAAGGAAGGGGCCACGGCAGGUCAGUAUGCCCCGAAACUCUGGGGCCACACGCGGGCUGCAAUGGUAGUGACAAUGGGUCCCGAAUCCGAAAGGAGGAGGUAUCCUCAAACACUACCACAGUUAUGACUGAGGGCUGCAACUCGCCCUCACGAAUAUGGAAUCCCUAGUAACUGCGUGUCAUUAUCGCGCGGUGAAUACGUCCCUGCUCCUUGCACACACCGCCCGU
This 777-nucleotide ribosomal RNA is filed under the name uncultured archaeon. RNAcentral describes it as "bacterial SSU rRNA". It matches the Rfam family "Archaeal small subunit ribosomal RNA", at positions 577 to 1353 of the family's 1478-position model. The record is from RNAcentral.